CUUUCUCCGAAAAUAAGUCACUCCGGGUGGCUGUUUUGCCAAUAGCUGUAAUUUUACUUCUUAAGCAUCAACUAUUUUUUCUGUCAAAACAAGUUGUAUGAAACCUGAAGAGACAGUGUCAUCACCCACCCACCUCAAUGGAAAGACAAGAAUUUAUGCUCUUCCUCAAACAUGAAGAUCAUCAUUUGAAUUCAGGAGGACUGUCCCGCAUUCGUCCAGCUCACUCAGAGCACCACGCUUGCCCCAUGCCUGUCUGGGAACUUCUAUCAGAACACUAGUUGAUGUAUUCGGAGGAUGGCAGACUUGCUAAAAGGAGCAGAUAUGAAACACCUUAGACGUGUGGACAUCCCUCAUUUAACUCUGAUAUUACGGUUGUAGCAACAACAGGCUGUGGUCAGUGAGUGCACAGGAGAUAUAUGCUGGAGGCCUUUAGGAAAUCGUUUAUCUCUUGGUCCAAAGUUUCAUUCCCCAUUCUUUCAUCCUUGUCCUGGAAUCGGAUACCUGAACAGAUAGGCAAAGGAUUUGCCUUACGCCAAAAUGAGAGCAAUUGCUGGGUCAAAGAACCUGACAGACAAUGUUGAGCCUCUGCAGGAAAAGCAACAUCUACUCACCUGGAUUGCUGCUCUUAAAAUAAAUAGAGGAAAGCUCCUCCACACAGCUUCGCUUGGACUCCUGUUUUAAAAAGACCAACAAACGUUGCCGGACACAAACGAGAGAAUAAGCAGCAGCGAUGAAGUACACCAUAUGUUCCUGUUGUAGGCUGAAUCCAGGUCUUUGUUUCAAUAUUCCAGCGCCAGCAGCAAGGAAAGCGAACUAACCGCCUAUUUAAAUUUAUUUUCUCAUUAUUGCGGUAAAAGUUACACUAAUGAUAGGCUCAACCCGAACCCAUUCUGUCUCAUUAUUGGCUUCUGUAAUCCAGAUCUUUUGCAAUCCCAGGAACCUGAAAUACAAUCGCCCUGGAUAACAGGUCCGUAGCAGAACAAUCUGAUAAGCCAACACAAGCGGCACGUACUGAAGA
Long non-coding RNA from Myodes glareolus (Bank vole), 1018 nucleotides. RefSeq lists it as uncharacterized. Lineage: Eukaryota; Metazoa; Chordata; Mammalia; Rodentia; Cricetidae. The record is from RefSeq and is a predicted model, not a curated record.